ACAGACCCUGAUUCCGAUUCCCGGAGGCGAUUGGUCGCGGGAGGAGGGGCGGACUGGAGGAGCGGGUCCAGCCCCGGGGCCUGUAGGAAUAGCUGGCUCCGGCUGCCACCUAGCGGACGGGAGCCGCGACCGGGAGGCGCACUGCCGGGUCCCUCCUCCCCUCCCUGCAGGCAGCCUGUGCCUUUUCUCCAAACGAAGACAGCACUUUGAAAAUUCUUUCAAUGGAUUUUUUUUUUCCUUGAAAGAUCGUACUGGGGGAAAAUGAUACUUCUAUUAGUUUCAUAUUCUCCAAUCGCACACUCGCACCCCCCACGUUUUGAGAUCGCUCCCCUAGUCAGCUCAGGCGGGCGCGAAACGGCGCAGUGACAAAGCCGCCGCUGCAGCCGCCGGGGGUGGGAGCUGCGCUCGCCCGCCCGCCCCUCCACUCGGGAGAGCGUAAAAGUUUGUCUCAGCUCCAGCUUCCCUAGCCUCAACACGCCCUCAGGUACAGGUAGGAGUAAAUGACCACGCUGUAUUGACAGAGCCCCUCGAGCUCGAAUAAUGGAGAGACAGUCAAUGCACUCUGCAAGCGACGGCCCAUUGUCGCAGCUGAUGGAGAGGAGGUGACGGGGGCUGGCAGGGGCUCCUUGCCCUCGCCCCUCUUCCCAGAUAACGCGCUCACGUCUCCCGGUCAGUUAAAAGGUGAAAAGAACAUGAUUAAAAGACAAAAAAAAAAAUGUAAAAGAGAGAAAGAAAACAUGCUUUCUAUAUAUAAAUUCUAAAUUUUACUCCCCAUACAGUACAGAGGCAGGCAGUUGAGGGCAGAGGAAGCAGGCAGGAAGAGGGAGACAGGGAGAAGGAAAGAGAACGUGGAGAGACGGAGCGAGUGGAAGAGGAGGCGACAGACAGCAAGCACCAGGGAACCGGAGGCCCGCUGGACGCCCAGUUGCGGGCCCGGCCGCCCUCGGACACUGCACCGUGAGUCGUGGGCACCCGGAGAGAAAUUCAGCCAAGUCCUGCCCCACCAGGCAAGUAAUGCAAUGAUUAUCGUUUCUUUUGAACUCGGGGUUGGCAUCGCGGACAGGCCGAGAGGCAGCCUUGACUCGAAUGGCCUCUGCAGGCUGGGGCCGGAGUCCAGUUAGCGAGUGCGGACGAGGAGAACUUUCCGCAGGGUCUGCUCCGGAGCUGCCCUCGUCCGGCCUCUGUCCAGCGGCGGCGCGGAGGCAGAAAUGGACGUACAUCAAGGUUCUCAACAUUCUAUUGAAACUUCCUUGUCUUCAUGUGCAAGAGGAGCACCAGAACCUUACCCUGUGGCAGCUUCCAUGUCUGAUAUAAGCUGUUCACCAGGAACUUUGGCAAGUGAGUUGGCUAGAUAAGCAAGUCCUCCUCUACUGUGGGAAAACAACUUGAAGUUCACCCCUUUGAAGAUGUAAAUAAAGUCUGUAGGAUAUGGGUAGACUGAAUGCCUUCUUCACUGAAUACCUGCUUCAAAUCACCUUUCAUUUUCCUGUUGGAAAGACAACCAUUGGAGAGUCAACUUGUUACCAUCAGCAAAAAUGAAAACAAAUCAAGACAUUAAGAAUGCCGCAGUGGCCAGCAAUUAAUGACGCCAAUGUUACGCAAGCUUCAAGGAAGGAAGUUUUCAAGACAGUGUGCCUCACUAGCCAGGAUUCAGAAAAGAUUGAACGUUUCCUUUUUGUCUCAGCUUCUCCUUAAAUCAAUGCAGUUCCUCCAGAUUAAUGUGAAUUGAAACAUGCCUUGCCUUUUCAACUUAAGUACCCGCUAUGUGUGAAUCACUGCUCAAAUGGGGGAGGGAAAAUGAGGGAGACAAAAAAGAUGUGGUCCUUGCCUUCAAUGGAUUUACAAUUAGUUUCAGGGUGCAUUUUUUUUUCCUGCUGCUCUUAAUUAAGUGUGUCCCUAAAACAGGAAAUGAAUGGAAAAGUAUAUUCUAUAAGUAUUUUAAGUCCCUUUAAAACAAAACAAAGCAAACAAAACAAAAAAAUCUAAUGUGGGCAACUCAGGACUUCUUAAUUCCAUUUUCUUUUGGACUUCUGAUAGGAUUCAUUUUAUUGAUUCCAUAAAUAUUCAGUAGACUUGAGAGGUAUUAACACACUAUUGAGUUGGAGUUAAUUGAAUUAAAUUCUUUUUUUCCCCCCUUAGGUGUAGCUUGUCUCUUGGAAAAAUAUAUUGUGUUUGUACAUUUCUUGGGGGGUGGGAGGUGAAUUACUUCAGUUGUUUCUAUAGGCCUCUACCUUCCAUGUUCUGGGGGCCUGCCCUUCUGAGUGAGUUAUUAGCAUGGAGAAGUGGCAGGUUUGGAUUAAGUUUGAGGAAGGAGCAAAAGACAGGGCAAGGAAGGAGCAAAAGAUUCUGCAGCUUUAUGAAAAUUUGGCUUUUUCAGUAUUCAUUAACUGUCCUCUAUGUUCCGUAAGUUGAAUAACCUAUACAAUUUUUCCAAAAAACUACUUUUGAUGUGGGAAUAAGUAUAACUCAGGAUUUGUCCAGUGUUAAGACACUAAUGUGACUGCAGGCACUAGACAUUUUAUGUAGUGUCUGUGACACAUUUCAGUAUGUAUGAGCCAACUGUAGACAUGUCUUUAUCUUGAGUAGUGUCCAUCUGAAUUGAAAAUGUGCCAGGUUUUUUUAAACAUCAACAGACUUCUUAAUUAAGCUGCCAAUACAUACUGCCAAUAACAUUGUGUGCCCUUUGAGAAAUGAAUUGUGUAAGUGCCAUUUCUCUCUUAUUGAAUAAACAAUGUUGCUUUAUAUAAAAUGGAUUCAAAGUAUUCUUUGAAUGGGGCAUUACAUUGCUACUUAAAUAAUUUUAUGAGAAUUCUAAUACCAUCCCCUUUUAUUUAAUUUCUAAAAACUUUAUUUUGCUUUGCACUAAGGAAUAGCUCUAAUUUGACCAAUAACUUCAGUUAUAUGAUUCAUCUAAUAGGAUGAAUCCCCUGCCCCAAAACUCCUGAUGGUGAUAUUGGAUAUUUGUUAUGUCACUUUCAGUUUACCUGAAAUAGCUUCCAGGCAAUCUGAGUUAUGUAUUGUAUUUUGCUAAAUUGUAGAUACUUGUUUCCUGUUCUGGGAGUGUUUUUUAGAGGGCCUGUCUCUAUUCCUGGUGCCUAGUACAGUGCCUGGUGCAUCAUGGGUAUAUGUUCAGUAAACAUUACAUGUCUUGGUGAUCAAGCCAUGUAAAAUACUGCUUUUAGCUGUAGUUCUUAUAGCUGUGUAUGAGUGAGAGUUGUCUUAUUAACAGAGGAGCACCUUAAUUUGUUUGCAGUUUGCAGUCAGUCUAUUUAAAAUUAGCCCAAAUCGGUGAAUACGUCAUGUGCAGUCUAAUUCACUUCUUAAUUGGCAUCUUGGAAUUCACCAGUUCAGCCCUGUGGUUUGUACCGACAUCCACUCUGCUUCCCCUGCCCUUGCCCUGCUCUGCCCACUCAAGGGUGGUGGGGCCUUUGGAGGGGCUGCUCUGCCUCUCCAACUCUGGCUUGUCCAUCAGUAGAGGAGCAUUCACUGUCCAUUAAGUACUCCAGAUGUGCCAGGUACUGAGCUAAGUGUUUUACACAUAUCCUCUCCCUUACUUUUCUCAUUUAAAGCUCACAAUAACCAUUUGAAGUAGGUUUUAUCACUGUAGAGAUAUGUAUCUUGCCUAAUCAUGGAGAUCUAAAUGCAGAUCUCUUAGACUCUAAACCCUGAACUAUUAACCCCUACCCUCUGCUGCAUCCCAGGAGAAAUUCCCAGUGCUUGGUGAUGGGGAGCAGAUCAAAUCUGGGCAUAGUUCAGAUUUAUUACAGUUAGUAUUCCCAGCAAACUGUCUAACAGAUAAAAUCCUGCAAAUCACAGUUGUUUUGAAAAUGGGGGAGGGCAGAGCAAUUGGUUGAAAGCAAAGUUGGAAACACACCAAUUUGAGUCAAACCUUUAGCCUUUACUUCAUAAGGCUUUUUUUAAAAAAGAAAAUUUUCUUUUUUUAACAUGGUCUGACACCAUGUGAUAAAUCAAAGCCUGAUGUAAUUGACCCAGAAUUGAUCCCCAAAUGUCUUUUGGGGGAACAUGCUUUAACUCUGGUUGCUGAUUCUGAGGAAUAAUUGCCACCCUAGAAAGGUAAUUAUAUAUGCCAUUGUUUAUACACAUAAUAGGCACAGAAUGCAUGUUCUGCACAGAGGGGAAGAGAAUUCUGCAUGCACAUUAGGGGUGUAUGCUAUGUAUUCUGUCAGAAUGCCACAAAUAACAUUUGAACCGCUCCCGAUUACUGCUGAUUUUCCCAGCAGACUUGCUCGUGUGUGUGUGCAUAUGUGUGUGUGUGUAUAAGGAAGAAGUUAGAAGUCAGGAAGGGGAUGGGCCAUGGAAGGCUGUUGGUUGAGCUGAAAUGGCAGUGAUUUUGCUUUUCCUUAAUUUUUUACUUUAACAAAACCUACUGGAUGUGAUUCAUUUAACUUGGUAAAAAGACUGUUCUCUUCCUGUUUGGCAUCUGCUUAUUAAUGAGUUCUCAUAUUUCUUUUCAUCAAGGGCUGUUUACUUUGUGGAAAUACAAAGUGAGAAUCUUUCUGCACGACAUCCUCCUGAAUGCCCCGGUUUUGACCACCCCUUUAAGUACACCGAACAGUCAGCUAAAAUGGUAGCCAGUGCCUUUCCUCUUACUGUGCUUUCUGGUAAAACAUAAAUGGGAUUCAGACCACAAAUGACCAAUUAAAGCCUUUUUCCUUUAGCUAUCGGACAGUAGCUAUCCUAAGUAAAUACAACAAACAGGCUACUUUGUGGUAGUCUAACCCCAGCAAUAUAUAUAUAUUUUAAAUCAAAGCCUUAAGAAAACAAAAUGUCGUGACUUUUUGUAGUGCUGCACAAUGAAAAAAUACAUAUGUAUUCCAAUGUGGAACUGAGCAUUGUUUGAGGCCAAAGCAAUUCAUCCUGGGCUAUUCUCUGCUGCAGUGUCCAGCAAAUUGCAUGACCUGCUUGUUAGGCUUUGACAACAGUGUUUUACCUAACAAAGGCUUCUGCAGUGCCGAGCAGCAGUAAACUGUCAGAACGAGCACAUUUCACACACAGAUGUGCAGCCAUAAUAGCCUGUAAGAAGAUGCAUGUGGCAGGGAGCAAAGGGUGGGGGCUGGGUACUUAGAGUGGUGUGGCAUGUGAGUGUGUAGGUUGGGGGCCAGCAGGAGGGGGAGGCCAACAGUUAGCAUAGGGACAUGGCCCUACUGACCACAUUUAAUCAGCCCUCUGUAAACAAUUCAACAUUUUCAUUGUUCUCUAAAAACUAAUAAAGAGAAACAAAUACUUUUCAUUCAUCUUGAAGUAAUUUUCUGUCAGGUUGGAGCCCCUUGUGGCCUCCAGCUUGUGCCAUGCUAGCUGUGUGAUACAACAACUAUUGCAAUUUAUUUUACAAACUCUGGUCAUUCACAUGUCAGUUAGUGUUCACCAAGCCGGCAUCUGAAAUUGUGCAGUUAACGAGUUUUACAACAUUUCUAUCAAGAGAAACUGUUUAGCAUAACUGACUCUUAAGGAGUUAUUAUACCUCUAAAAAUCCAUUUUAAGGGGCAUUAUUUAAAUAAAAUAGAAAAACGGUUCACUGCCUUUUAAAGGGGCUACAAAAAAAGUCCAUCAGCUCCAGUGCAGUAAUCCUCAGCUUAAAGCACUCUUGAGAGUACUUCUGGGAAUUGUCAGCAUAAUGAAAUGUUUUGUGAAAUGUCCAGAUAGAUUCCUCUGCUCAACAAUUUUACUGCACCGUAUUUAUUUUCCUUCCAGUUUUUAAAGAAGUGAAUUACUUUUUGAGAGGAUGACUCUAUGUUGUGUAGAUUAACUGAGCACAUUAUUACCCAGGUUGUAGCAGAAGUGAUGAUUCUGUUUGCAGUGUCAUCUAUAUGCAUCUGCAGACAGGGGCAAAGAAGAGAAAGGCAGCUUUUUCCCCUUAAUACUUUUAGCUCUGAAAGGGUUAAAUCACAAGGAGCCUUGCAGAGUUUCACAUUUUCCCCACACCAGAUUUUCCCAGGGACUUUCAAGCAACUUUUAAACACGAUGGCACCUGUAAAUACUUUCUUUAACUUUACUAAAUGGACACUGUUUUCUUACCUUGAAUAAAUAAAUGCAGGAAAACCUAUACACAUGUACACUGGCACAUGCAUAAUAACGCAUGUUGUUUGAACUGAGCCCAUUUCAAUAGGAGAUGCUAUUGAACGUUUUACUUAAAGAAGAAUAGAUUCUUCACAUUAACAGAGAUGGCCAAUGACCCCAAACCAAUUAAUGGCUAGAGUCUAUAAUGGAGCACUAUAUAGCAUAGCAGCAAGUUCAUUUAGCAUAGUAUAUUACCUGACAGGAGUAGAAGCCCCCACUUGUAAUGUAAAUGGCUUAAUGGUUCUUCCUGCAAUGAGCAAGAUCAGGAGAAAAAUUAUGUUCUGCUUAACAGAUAUUCCAUAUCCUUAGGAGUUGUAUCUAUAACAUGGCACAUUUUCAUUUUGCCACAAAUGGUCCCCUAAUUUCUUAGACUGAUGUUUGUGCACAUGACUUUAAUUUUCUGAGGGAGACAGGCAGGUGUUCUUGUGCCUCUUAGCUGUGUCUGCCCAUAAGAAGCACAGUAACAUCCAUGAGCUGAAUACAAUUUGACAUAAUUCAUGCCUUUAUUACCUCCUACAGAAUUAUAUUAUUUCAUGCUGACACAUUAAUGUUCCAGCACCAUACUGUCACUACUGGAAAUUUUACCUUUUGAAGUUCAAAUAUUGAGGAAUGAGUUUUAAAAUUUUCUAACUGUCUUACUUAGAUUUGGGGAAAUACAAAGAUUCCAAGGUCAGCUUUGUACUCUUCGAUGUUUGGUGGCACUGCCGAUAAUAUGGAGAUAAUGAGCAAAGAUCGUAUCUGAAAACUCUCACCUCUUCUUGACCAAAGAGCUUAUUCUCAUUCUAUUUCUAUUUUUGCAAAUAAUAUUUUGUCAACUUAUCAUGGCAUACUUUGCUGCUAUAUGUUCCCUGUACCUCACACCCCCUCCACCAAGUGAUGUAAACUUAGGAAAUCUUGUCCGAAAAUGUUUAACUGAUUGAUUGCAACUUGAAUCCAUUUGAUGUAGUACUUAAAUCUAACCUAAUACUCCAGCAUUCACAAUUAGUUAGGGAAGAUGGACUGUAUGUUUCCUAUUACUGCCAUAAUAAAUUACCCAAAUUUAGUGGCUUAAAAUAACUCAAAUGUAUUAUCUUACAGUUCUGUAGGUUAGAGGUCUUUCUGGGCUAAAAUCACUUCUUGACAAAGCUGCAUUCCUUCUGGAGGCUCUAGGGGAGAAGCCUUUUCCUUUCCUAGCUUCUUGACACUGCCUUCCUUCCUUGGCUUGUGGCCCCUUCCUCCAUCUUCAAGAUUUGCAGGGGUGAGUUGAAUCUUUCUCAGAUGGCAUUGAUUGGACCCUCUUCCAUUGUCAAAUCUCUCUCCGACUGCAGCCAGAAAACGUUCUCCACCUUUAAAGACUCAAGUGGUCAGAUUGUGCUCACCCAGAUAAUCCCAGAUAAUCACCCCAUCUCAAAGUCUAUAUCCUAAAUCACACCUGCAAAGUUUAUUUUGCUCUGCCAGAUAUUAUAUUCAGGUUCUGGCAAAUACAAGACUCAGAUAUCUUUGGGCCUGGGUGGGGACCAUUAGUCUGCCUAUACCACAUGGAGUCUCUGAGUUCUUUCUCAAUCCAGUGUCUGAGGAAUGAAUAGCAGUCCCCAGCCUCUUCAAACUUUUAAAGUCAUGCACAAAAAUAGUUUUAGAAUUUUGAGUAUGCACCCCAGUGUAUGUACAUUUCCUCUGAACCAUACAACUACCUAUAUUAAUAACAUAUAUACUUUUAGUACAUAAAUAAGUAAAAACAGAUCUUUUAAUGAUGUCUUUGCACCCCAGUGCCUCUAGGGCUACAUGCCUCUUGUUUUGGAGAAAAAGGAAAAGGGAUGAAGUUUGGCUCCACUUGUGAAAAGGCGGCUUUUUCUUCCUUCAGAGCUAUAAGGCUUCAGGAUGAGGAAGGGUCUGCAAAGACUUUCUGGUAGCCUCGGAUAGUUUCUGGAAGUGAGGAAGAAAAUUAUGGACAUAUGCUUUGCUUACACUGUUAUUGCCAUUGGUAGUUACAGAGUGUAAAAGUAUAGAAGGUUACGUGCCCCAAACUUUUCUGGAAGUUGAGAGCUGCAAAUGAUAGAAUUACAAAACAAAUGCUGUUUUGGAAAAGACUAGAAAGAGAUUGUUUACCAAAGGCUCUAGAAUAAGGCCAUAUCUCAUGAGAACAACCACUCAUACCAGUGCACUUGAAAAAUCCCAAGAAACCAAUUGCUCAAUGAUCAUUUUAAACACAAGUAGCAAGGUCCAUGUGAAACAGCUUAGAAAAAGGUAAUUCUGCUAAGUUCACUUUAAAUCAUAUUUUUCGCCUUUAGAAAACAUGUAUAUUAUACCAGUCACACUUGCCCUCCGUGGCAUGAAGGCUUAUGUAGAGCAGAAAACCAGAAAUUGUAACAUACGCCAACUCUGUUAAGUCCCCUUGUGUUAGCAUUUGAGAUGUUUUCGGAGCAGUCACCCUCCUAAGCGGGAUCUUGCUAACACAUGCUGAUAUAACUCUGAAAUAAAAAAGAGCUUCUGCUGGCGAAUGAAAAGUAGGUUGCCACAGAAAUGUACAUCAGUUGGGAAACAAGUCAAUAAGUGUUUGCCAGCUGCCAUAAGUGUCCCGGAGGCAGUCUGGGCAGUAUGUUUUCAUUUGAUUUGCUGCAGGCCAUUUCCAUUCUCUUUCCAAAAGGUGGACAGGUAGUCUUCUUAAAUCCUUUGCUGAUAGUUUCCAUCAGUGAUCUCAAAAUAUAACAUGUCGAUAAUUACUGUACAAAGAAGUUAAACAUUACAGUUAAAUUUCCACACUGAAACCCAAUCCAGGGAUUAGCAACAAUAGGGAAUCUGUUUUAUUUGCAUUUAAUUUGUACCUUCGCACUAUUAUCUCCCAUGUUUUAGUCUCAGGAAACGUGGUCUCAGGCUAUUAUAACCACAUUUCAUGCUGCUGUUUCACUGUUAUUUGAUCUCUAUGUUUGGGAAUGACUUACUGAAAAAAUAAAGCUAGCAUACUUUAUUUUAAUUAUACCAGUACAGUGUCUAAAUAAAAAAUGUACUUUAUAUUUAAUGUGGAGCACAGAUUAACAGUUUUAUGGGACAUAAAAUCUAUCUAUAUCAUUUUCUAUUUACACAUCAGUUAUAUAUCUCUCUCUCAGCAAAACAAAUGUCUAUGGUGUGAAAACGAGGAAGGAGCACAUCGAAGUUACAAUCACAUGGGCAGUAAAUAACAUCUUAAUUGGUGUGGAAUGCCGGAGUUUGAUUUUUUUUGCUGCCUGGCUUUUAUUUAUUGAUCUCUAUAGCUUAUUUAUCUUCCCAGUGAUUUGUACAAGUCUAUCUCCUUUCCUCAAUAAGCCAAUCUAUGGUGGUUUUAUAUUGCAGAUCCCAUCUGGGGAAAUGGUCUGGUGAGAGAGAAGUGCAGUUGCUCCUGGAAAAGCCAUUAUUUAAAAGCUUUUGUAGAGGUUGCUGGAAAAGUCAAGCCUGCAAAUAACCACUUUGAUAAAUGUAUUAUCUUCUACAAUUGCGAUGUAAAGAUCACCAGAAAAAGAUCUGUAAGUUUCACCUGGGGAACCAGAAAAUUUCUUCACAGAGGUCCCAGAGGGACGCAGACUCAACUUUAUGAGAAGCAGCACCACUGCCGCCCUCCCUGCUCCCCUUAAUCAC
Manis javanica (Malayan pangolin) is the source of this 9666-nucleotide non-coding RNA. NCBI's taxonomy places the organism in Eukaryota, Metazoa, Chordata, Mammalia, Pholidota, Manidae. The record is from RefSeq and is a predicted model, not a curated record.